RNAcentral lists this ribosomal RNA (254 nucleotides) under uncultured bacterium. RNAcentral describes it as "partial 16S ribosomal RNA". It matches the Rfam family "Bacterial small subunit ribosomal RNA", at positions 524 to 776 of the family's 1533-position model. The record is from RNAcentral.
UACGUAGGGACCAAGCGUUGUUCGGAUUUACUGGGCGUAAAGGGCGCGUAGGCGGCAAUUCAAGUCAUCUGUGAAAUCUCCGGGCUUAACCCGGAACGGUCAGGUGAUACUGUUUUGCUAGAGUGCGGAAGGGGCAAUCGGAAUUCUCGGUGUAGCGGUGAAAUGCGUGGAUAUCGAGAGGAGCACCAGAGGUGAAGACGGGUUGCUGGGCCGACACUGACGCUGACAGCGCGAAAGCCAGGGGAGCAAACGGG